CCUACGGGAGGCAGCAGUGGGGAAUAUUGCGCAAUGGGCGAAAGCCUGACGCAGCGACGCCGCGUGAGGGAUGAAGGUCUUCGGAUCGUAAACCUCUGUCAGCAGGGAAGAACGGUCACUGUGCUAAUCAGCAGUGAAUUGACGGUCCCUGCAACGGAAGCACCGGCUAACUCCGUGCCAGCAGCCGCGGUAAUACGGAGGGUGCGAGCGUUAAUCGGAAUUACUGGGCGUAAAGCGCUCGUAGGCGGUAUGUCAAGUCAAGGGGGAAAUCCCCGCGCGCAACGUGGGAACUGCCUUUGAAACUGGCAAACUGGAGUGUGUGAGAGGAUAGUGGAAUUCCAGGUGUAGGAGUGAAAUCCGUAGAUAUCUGGAGGAACAUCAGUGGCGAAGGCGACUAUCUGGCACAUAACUGACGCUGAGGAGCGAAAGCGUGGGUAGCAAACAGGAUUAGAUACCCCUGUAGUC
RNAcentral lists this ribosomal RNA (465 nucleotides) under uncultured bacterium. RNAcentral describes it as "partial 16S ribosomal RNA". It matches the Rfam family "Bacterial small subunit ribosomal RNA", at positions 338 to 795 of the family's 1533-position model. The record is from RNAcentral.